This 220-nucleotide long non-coding RNA is filed under the name Nicotiana benthamiana. RNAcentral describes it as "long non-coding RNA (NBEN_LNC037994)". The record is from RNAcentral. Lineage: Eukaryota; Viridiplantae; Streptophyta; Magnoliopsida; Solanales; Solanaceae.
AACGAUCAUUCAUGCCAUAUAUCAUCUCAAACCUCCUUCUAGGGGUGAGUGUGGCAUUUUAAUACCAAUUUCAUGUUCAUAUUCUUCUAAUAAUGAAUAUGUAUUCGUGAAUCAGGUGUUUGUCACAUUCACUUCGGGGAUAUGUGAUUUUGUUAUCCUUUUCAAAUCUAUAAAUGCGUCAGGCAUUUGAUUUGCUAUUCUUUGCAAAUGGAUAAUCNNN